GAUGAACGCUGGCGGCGUGCCUAAUACAUGCAAGUCGAGCGAACGGACGAGAAGCUUGCUUUUCUGAUGUUAGCGGCGGACGGGUGAGUAACACGUGGAUAACCUACCUAUAAGACUGGGAUAACUUCGGGAAACCGGAGCUAAUACCGGAUAAUAUUUUGAACCGCAUGGUUCAAAAGUGAAAGACGGUCUUGCUGUCACUUAUAGAUGGAUCCGCGCUGCAUUAGAUAGUUGGUAAGGUAACGGCUUACCAAGGCAACGAUGCAUAGCCGACCUGAGAGGGUGAUCAGCCACACUGGAACUGAGACAAGGUCCAGACUCCUACGGGAGGCAGCAGUAGGGAAUCUUCCGCAAUGGGCGAAAGCCUGACGGAGCAACGCCGCGUGAGUGAUGAAGGUCUUCGGAUCGUAAAACUCUGUUAUUAGGGAAGAACAUAUGUGUAAGUAACUGUGCACAUCUUGACGGUACCUAAUCAGAAAGCCACGGCUAACUACGUG
RNAcentral lists this ribosomal RNA (497 nucleotides) under uncultured bacterium. RNAcentral's name for it is "partial 16S ribosomal RNA". It matches the Rfam family "Bacterial small subunit ribosomal RNA", at positions 28 to 507 of the family's 1533-position model. The record is from RNAcentral.